This 312-nucleotide ribosomal RNA is filed under the name uncultured eukaryote. RNAcentral describes it as "partial 18S ribosomal RNA". It matches the Rfam family "Eukaryotic small subunit ribosomal RNA", at positions 1470 to 1796 of the family's 1831-position model. The record is from RNAcentral.
CCCUUAGAUGUCCUGGGCCGCACGCGCAAUACAAUGUAAAGUUCAGAAAGCAUAUCCUGUUCCGGAAGGCAAUGGGUAAUCUUUUCAAUAUUUUACGUGUUAGGGAUCGAUCUUUGCAAUUAUAGAUCUUGAACGAGGAAUACCUAGUAAGUGCAGCUCAUCAGGCUGUACUGAUUACGUCCCUGCCCUUUGUACACACCGCCCGUCGCUCCUACCGAUUUCGAGUGGUCCGGUGAACCUUCUGGACUGAGUUCGCAAGAAUUCGGGAAGUUAAGUAAACCUUAUCACUUAGAGGAGGGAGAAGUCGUAACA